RNAcentral lists this long non-coding RNA (2412 nucleotides) under Prunus dulcis (almond). Its description in RNAcentral is "sRNA ncRNA". The record is from RNAcentral. Lineage: Eukaryota; Viridiplantae; Streptophyta; Magnoliopsida; Rosales; Rosaceae.
CAAUUUUUUCACGCUCCCUCUCUUCUUUCUCUGCCCUCUCAGUUUCUCUUCUUUCAAACUCCUUUUCUGUAUUUCUCUCUCAGUUUCUUUGCAUCGAUCUCCCUCCUCCUCCUCCUCAUCUCUUUCUCUCUUCCCUUUCCCUAACAAUUCAAAAAUCGAGGCCCAAAAGCCCUAUUUACUACUCUCAUCUGAUAUCUCUUUCAUUUUCCUCUUCGUUGUGUCCCUCUCUUUUCGUGGUGGUGGAGGAAAAGGUAGUAAUCUCGCAAAGUCAUACUGGUGCUCAAAGAUUGGAUUUUUACUGCUACCCAUCUGGUUGUUCCUGCCGUUCUCUAUCUGCAUCAAUAUCUUUAAUUAUGACUUGUUUUUUUCAUUUUUGAUUACUUGUUUUUCAAUUUCUUUUCUUCAUUAAUUAAUUUGGUCUGUUUUGUUUUGGUUCGAUUUUGUCCUCUUUAAUUAAAUUUGGCAGGCCUUUUUUAAAAUUGUAAUUGGCUUUGAGAUUGGACAAAGGUUGGCUUUCGUGAUUCUGUAGAGGUUAGUAAUCAAGGUUUAAAAAAAAUCUUAAUCUGUAAGUGUAUGUAUAGUUAUACAGUGUAUGGUUAAAUGGAUGAUUAUGAUUGGUAUUGGUUGUUGUGAUUGCCUUAAUUGCUAUGGUUACUGAAAAAAUAUGUGCAACUAAAUGUCUUUGGUUUUUUAAUUAUGGAUUUUUGUAUACUAUUUGGCUUUCUAAUGCUCUCCUUCGUUCUCUGUGCAGGUUGUUUUUCCCCUCCAAUUUGCAUUUGCAUUGCAAAAUUAUUAUGCUGAGAACAAAUGUUUGAGUUUAUUGUUUUUAAGAAUGAAGUUCGUUAAUUAUGUUUAUUUUGAGUUCAGUUCUUCUCUUGAAUUUAAAUUCUUUAUUGCCUUGUUUCAACUUUUUGAUGUAUAAAAAAAAAUUGGAAAUUUUUAUUUUUAUCCAAAUUCUAUUACUUGGAGGAGGUAUACAAUGUACAUACAUGCUACUUGGUCUUCCAAUGUAAUCUUGACAUUUGUCUCAAUUUUCCUCUGUUAUUUCUACAUCAUAAUAAACCCAUAUUCUUUGUUUACUCAUGAGUUCAGAGAAAAUUCUCAAUUUGGUUUACUUUCUUAUUUUUGGCAUCAGGUUUUACAAGAAUUGGCUUCUUCAUACUUUUCCUACCUUAAUUUGAUUUUACUUUUAUCACUGAAGUAGUGCAGGGAAAAGUUUGGAGAAGUUGAUGGAGGAGUGUUGAGAGAGAGCAGAUACUUGUGAAUUAAUUGCAGGAAAGCAUUCAAAGUCUUGAAAGGCAGUCCUCACCAGUGGAAGAAUUGUCCCAGAUUUUGAAAAGAGCAAAUAAUUUCUUGCAUUUUGUGUUGCAGAAUGCACGACCUCACUGAUCACUUUUUAAUUUUUGUUCAUAAUUUUCUGUUUUAGGAUCAAGAAUUGCUGUAUCUGUUUAUCUAUAAUCACUUCCCAAGUUUGCAAGAGGAGGUAAUUAAUUGCCACUGAAGUUCUUAUUCAAGGUUUGGUAGGAUUGCUGCAUAACUUCAAUGUAAUUUAAAAGGAGGUAAUUACUGCCUUGCUUAAGUGACACUCUGACACUAAACCACCUUAAUUAUAUCAUGUUCUUUCUUCUUGCCAGCACAUUAUAGGAAGAACAGAUGUUGAGAUUUUUACCGGGGCCGGCGUUAAGGAAUCUCAAGACUUCAAGGAGGUUCUGGAAAAACAGGUUACCUGCAAAAAGGGCGAUUACAUUUGAGACACCAUUAUUUGGGUCAAAAACAUUUUUGAUAUAUGUGGAGCCCGUCUUCAACAAGGCAUGAGAGACAUUUGGUAUAAAUUACAUGGGGAUGGAUGUCACUGAUCAGGUAGUUGCAUUUUGUAUGUUUUAGAGUUCAAUUCAAGACUUUUCUUUUGAUCACUAAAGGGUAUUUGUGUUUCUUCUGCACAAACAACAGGCGAGGAAAAGAAAAAAGAUGGCAAAGCUUAGUGAGGAAAUCGCAGUCCAAAAACCAAAGGAACUUAUAGUAAUUUUACGUAUAUUUUUAUAAUUUUUAAAAAUUAUAAAUUUUAUAAGUAAUGCAAUAAAAUAAUAGUUAAAUGACACAAGUUAGAAACUCAAUGCUGUAGUAUCACUUGUUUGCCACCAAAAUAUGUUUCAUAAAAGCUUUAAAAGGAUUCACUAGAGCUUCAACAUCGCUUCAUUUACUAUUCAAUAAAGCUUCAAAAUAUUAAUUUUAUUUUUUGACUAAGAAGUCUUCAUUAGUAUUUUUAUGAAUUUUUUAAGAUGAACUCAAAAGACAUAGAAAGUGUCAGAUUGAGUUUGUAGAAUUUUUUGGUGUGUAUUUUUAUGCUAUUUAAUGAAUUAUUAUGAUUUUUGAAAGUUAAAGCAUUCAAAAAUAGUAAUAAACGAAAGAGAU